AAAUAGCUGGGAGCUAGAGCCUCACUAGAGGGUCUAAAACUGAGCUAAAUAUUUCCUGGUUUCUUGAGAGAUGUUGGGGACGGGAGAGGGGCGGUCGCUAAAACGUUCACAUUGUCAGGACAGUUAGUAGGCUUUCUCCCAGCCAAAAUCUUAGCUUAGCUGUGAAGAAGACUGCAGUCACGUAGCACUUGGCACCCAGGGAUCUCAAAGAACUUUAUGCAUCAUUUAUCUUGAGCCUUGUUUUGCAAAAGACCAAUUACCUAAGGCUUGGGCUGGAGGUAGAGGUAGAUGUUUGAGCCAGAUUUACACCAUUAAUCGAGGUAGGGGGAGAAAGACACAAAGCCUCCGGUUUAGCGGUUUCCUCCUCCCUCUGAAGCACCUUCUCGCAGUCCUCUCAGCAAUGAAAGUUCCUUUAUUCGUCCAGCACGAAAAGGCCAAAGAAACAGGGUUAUCCUUUCACCUAACAGCCCUUUCUGGGGCAGUUGCUCAGAAACAUGCAGAGCAUAGAGCCUUGGCUUGGAAGGAAGGUUUGGAAGGAAGAACAAAUCGUCUGUAAACUAUUGGGCUGGACUUGCCUCUUCCAAAGCUAAAAAUGUCAGCCUGGUUAUUAUAAAGAGAAUGCGACUCAGAGGCUAAUUGACUUGUGAAUCCUGGAUCACACUUUUAAGAGGGAAGAAAACAAAAGUCACUUCUUCAGAUUUCGCACAGAACAAGGAGAAACUCCCUUUUGUUGUGUGGUUCUGAAGGACGCGGAGCAGGCCAUGUUACUACAGACGAAGAAAAGAAUGUCUACAGCGAAGGGGACACCUGAGAGGUCGCACGCUUAGUGGGAUCAUGGUAGAAGUUCAAAACAUCAACGUGAGAAAAAUCAGUGAAACUGAGGACUAAAGUCGGAAGUAUGGGUGACGCAAGGAAUUAAAGGGUUUGCGAAUCAAGACA
Molecule: long non-coding RNA, 939 nt
Organism: Herpailurus yagouaroundi (jaguarundi)
Lineage: Eukaryota; Metazoa; Chordata; Mammalia; Carnivora; Felidae
Exons: 3
Source: RefSeq, a predicted model, not a curated record